RNAcentral lists this ribosomal RNA (253 nucleotides) under uncultured bacterium. RNAcentral describes it as "partial 16S ribosomal RNA". It matches the Rfam family "Bacterial small subunit ribosomal RNA", at positions 524 to 776 of the family's 1533-position model. The record is from RNAcentral.
UACAGAGGUCCCAAGCGUUGUUCGGAUUCACUGGGCGUAAAGGGUGCGUAGGUGGUCGGGUAAGUCCGAUGUGAAAUCUCCAGGCUCAACCUGGAAAUGGCAUUGGAUACUAUCCGGCUUGAGGAGUGGAGGGGGGACUGGAAUUCUCGGUGUAGCAGUGAAAUGCGUAGAGAUCGGGAGGAACACCCGUGGCGAAGGCGGCCAUCUGGACCAGCACUGACGCUGAGGCACGAAAGCGUGGGGAGCAAACAGG